RNAcentral lists this ribosomal RNA (497 nucleotides) under uncultured bacterium. RNAcentral describes it as "partial 16S ribosomal RNA". It matches the Rfam family "Bacterial small subunit ribosomal RNA", at positions 28 to 507 of the family's 1533-position model. The record is from RNAcentral.
GAUGAACGCUGGCGGCGUGCCUAAUACAUGCAAGUCGAGCGAACAGAUGAGGAGCUUGCUCCUCUGACGUUAGCGGCGGACGGGUGAGUAACACGUGGAUAACCUACCUAUAAGACUGGGAUAACUUCGGGAAACCGGAGCUAAUACCGGAUAAUAUAUUGAACCGCAUGGUUCAAUAGUGAAAGACGGUUUUGCUGUCACUUAUAGAUGGAUCCGCGCCGCAUUAGCUAGUUGGUAAGGUAACGGCUUACCAAGGCAACGAUGCGUAGCCGACCUGAGAGGGUGAUCGGCCACACUGGAACUGAGAUACGGUCCAGACUCCUACGGGAGGCAGCAGUAGGGAAUCUUCCGCGAUGGGCGAAAGCCUGACGGAGCAACGCCGCGUGAGUGAUGAAGGUCUUCGGAUCGUAAAACUCUGUUAUUAGGGAAGAACAAAUGUGUAAGUAACUAUGCACGUCUUGACGGUACCUAAUCAGAAAGCCACGGCUAACUACGUG